RNAcentral lists this ribosomal RNA (503 nucleotides) under uncultured bacterium. RNAcentral describes it as "partial 16S ribosomal RNA". It matches the Rfam family "Bacterial small subunit ribosomal RNA", at positions 30 to 523 of the family's 1533-position model. The record is from RNAcentral.
AUUGAACGCUGGCGGCAGGCUUAACACAUGCAAGUCGAGCGGGGUGAUGGUGCUUGCACUAUCACUUAGCGGCGGACGGGUGAGUAAUGCUUAGGAAUCUGCCUAGUAGUGGGGGACAACAUCUCGAAAGGGAUGCUAAUACCGCAUACGUCCUCCGGGACAAAGCAGGGGAUCACUUGUGACCUUGCGCUAAUAGAUGAGCCUAAGUCGGAUUAGCUAUUUGGUGGGGUAAAGGCCUACCAAGGCGACGAUCUGUAGCGGGUCUGAGAGGAUGAUCCGCCACACUGGGACUGAGACACGGCCCAGACUCCUACGGGAGGCAGCAGUGGGGAAUAUUGGACAAUGGGGGGAACCCUGAUCCAGCCAUGCCGCGUGUGUGAAGAAGGCCUUAUGGUUGUAAAGCACUUUAAGCGAGGAGGAGGCUCUUUUGGUUAAUACCCAAGAUGAGUGGACGUUACUCGCAGAAUAAGCACCGGCUAACUCUGUGCCAGCCGCCGCGGUAA